UGGCUGGCUUGGCAUGAGAGAGCUCACUAGGUUUCUCAGCAUGGUGGGUUACUACAGAGGGUUUUGUGAGAAUUGUUCUCACAAAAGGCUCCUUUGACUGACCUUGUGAGCCUGAAGGAAGGACACAAGGGCUUGUAACCAUGGAAGGGAAUGCAUCUGACCGAGCAGCAAACUUAGAAGUUGAAGAGAAGAAAUACUGCAACAGAUUAGACAGGCAACUUUGACCUGUAGCUAGAUUAAGAAACAGAGGUAACAUGCAUUGCUGAACACAUACUCUGAUGUAGGAAAGCUAACGUUAAAGGCUUCCUUUUUACAGUUGAAGUUAAAUUUGUUAUGUCCAUCUUAGGAACUGUAGGUGUUUUUUCUUAUACUCUUCAAACUGUAUGAGAGAGCUGUUAACUCAGUCAUUGCCAUCACCAUGCCAUUGUCUGUGUCAUGUCACUGAGUUACCAUUGCCUUGCCUUCUUUGACCCAGCUGUUAUCAACCAUGAUACUGUUGUGAAUAAACCAUCAGAUACAAUUUGA
Long non-coding RNA from Notolabrus celidotus (New Zealand spotty), 525 nucleotides. RefSeq lists it as uncharacterized. NCBI's taxonomy places the organism in Eukaryota, Metazoa, Chordata, Actinopteri, Labriformes, Labridae. The transcript has 3 exons. The record is from RefSeq and is a predicted model, not a curated record.